GGGGUCGACUGGUUUUGACAGCGAGUCGAAUUGAAGUGUAAGCACGUCGAGCGCUGGGAUACAGCUCGUAAAUCUCAUAUUUCACACUUUUUAAAUGGCGAGAAUAACUACGCUUUAGCUGCGUAAUCUGAAUCAUAGUAAGAUUUGCCUUAGUUUCCGUAAGACGGAAAAGCUAAAUAUCUCCCGGUAGCCCUUGUUGAUGGCGACCGAUUUAGAGAUACCAUAAAAAUCAACAUCGAAACUGUGUAGCUUUGCCACAGUUUUUCAACUAAAAAAGCUAAGCAAAUAGUGGGCGGUUUUUGGUCAGCUAUUUGUCGACAAUGAAACAAAGACUAAGCGUGUAGAAAGCAUUUGAAUUGCUUGUUUGGACGAGAGUUCGAUUCUCUCCGACUCCACUU
RNAcentral lists this transfer-messenger RNA (398 nucleotides) under Flavobacteriaceae. RNAcentral describes it as "Kordia sp006383075 Standard tmRNA". It matches the Rfam family "transfer-messenger RNA". Rfam says of the family: Bacterial tmRNA, also known as 10Sa RNA or SsrA, is named for its dual tRNA and mRNA-like properties. Its role is to liberate the mRNA from a stalled ribosome. The record is from RNAcentral. RNAcentral also lists the same sequence under 1 other name. Lineage: Bacteria; Pseudomonadati; Bacteroidota; Flavobacteriia; Flavobacteriales.